ACCUAUACAACUUUCAGCAACGGAUCUCUUGGCUCUCGCAUCGAUGAAGAACGCAGCGAAAUGCGAUAAGUAAUGUGAAUUGCAGAAUUCAGUGAAUCAUCGAAUCUUUGAACGCACCUUGCGCUCCUUGGUAUUCCGAGGAGCAUGCCUGUUUGAGUGUCAUUAAAUUCUCAACCCUCACCAACUU
This 187-nucleotide ribosomal RNA is filed under the name Coprinopsis fusispora. RNAcentral describes it as "5.8S RNA". The stretch from base 9 to 162 matches the Rfam family "5.8S ribosomal RNA". Rfam says of the family: 5.8S ribosomal RNA (5.8S rRNA) is a component of the large subunit of the eukaryotic ribosome. It is transcribed by RNA polymerase I as part of the 45S precursor that also contains 18S and 28S rRNA. Functionally, it is thought that 5.8S rRNA may be involved in ribosome translocation. The record is from RNAcentral. Lineage: Eukaryota; Fungi; Basidiomycota; Agaricomycetes; Agaricales; Psathyrellaceae.